Molecule: ribosomal RNA, 492 nt
Filed under: uncultured bacterium
Lineage: Bacteria
Description: partial 16S ribosomal RNA
Rfam family: Bacterial small subunit ribosomal RNA
Source: RNAcentral
AGUGAACGCUGGCGGUAGGCCUAACACAUGCAAGUCGAACGGCAGCACAGUAAGAGCUUGCUCUUACGGGUGGCGAGUGGCGGACGGGUGAGGAAUACAUCGGAAUCUACUUUUUCGUGGGGGAUAACGUAGGGAAACUUACGCUAAUACCGCAUACGACCUACGGGUGAAAGCAGGGGAUCUUCGGACCUUGCGCGAUUGAAUGAGCCGAUGUCGGAUUAGCUAGUUGGCGGGGUAAAGGCCCACCAAGGCGACGAUCCGUAGCUGGUCUGAGAGGAUGAUCAGCCACACUGGAACUGAGACACGGUCCAGACUCCUACGGGAGGCAGCAGUGGGGAAUAUUGGGCAAUGGGCGCAAGCCCGAUCCAGCCAUACCGCGUGGGUGAAGAAGGCCUUCGGGUUGUAAAGCCCUUUUGUUGGGAAAGAAAAGCAGCAGGUUAAUACCCCGCUGUUCUGACGGUACCCAAAGAAUAAGCACCGGCUAACUUCGUG